AUUUUGUAAGUAUAAAAAGUACAUUUGACUUCCAAUCAAAAAGACUUAGUUUAAACCUAAGACAAAAUA
This 69-nucleotide transfer RNA is filed under the name Ptilometra sp. DH-R. Its description in RNAcentral is "tRNA-Gly". It matches the Rfam family "tRNA". From Rfam's summary of the family: Transfer RNA (tRNA) molecules are approximately 80 nucleotides in length. Their secondary structure includes four short double-helical elements and three loops (D, anti-codon, and T loops). Lineage: Eukaryota; Metazoa; Echinodermata; Crinoidea; Comatulida; Ptilometridae. The record is from RNAcentral.